Molecule: long non-coding RNA, 584 nt
Organism: Heterocephalus glaber (naked mole-rat)
Lineage: Eukaryota; Metazoa; Chordata; Mammalia; Rodentia; Bathyergidae
Source: Ensembl
AGGACGUCUCAGGGUGUCCCAACGCCUGCCGCUCUGCGGGUCCACGCCGCCCACCUGCGCCACCACCUGCCGCAGAGGAGUCUCAAACGGCUCCGAACACAGCCGCCGCCAUCGCCGUCCCUACGCCGCUAACAGAAGCAUUUAUAAAUUGCAUUAAUGUCCACAUUCCAAGAAGCUCUAUGAAGAUCACCAAUAAUGGUAUUUUUGAGAGCACACAGAAAAAAAAAAAGAAGAAACAAAGGCUAAGUGAUUUGGAUUAGAAAAGUGAUGAGAGAUAUACCACAGUCAAGUACUCGUGGUGCUACAGUCUGAAUUUGCCCUUGAACUUUAUGUGCUGAAAUGCUAACUCCAGUGUGACUAUAUUUGGACGUAGAGCAUUUGGGACACAACUGAGUUCAACAGGAGCCUUUUGGAUGGGGUCUUCAUGAAACAGUUAAUGUCCUUCUAAGGAGAGGAAGAGACUAGAGCCUCCUGUUGUAAGGGUAAAGCAAGAAUGCAGCCACCUGCAGAUUCUGCUCUCAAAUAGCUGCUAACUCCCUCCCUUCACACCUCAGUUUCCAGUGGGGCCCAGCCCAACCACGCAC